This 497-nucleotide ribosomal RNA is filed under the name uncultured bacterium. RNAcentral's name for it is "partial 16S ribosomal RNA". It matches the Rfam family "Bacterial small subunit ribosomal RNA", at positions 28 to 507 of the family's 1533-position model. The record is from RNAcentral.
GACGAACGCUGGCGGCGUGCCUAAUACAUGCAAGUUGAGCGCUGAAGGUUGGUACUUGUACCGACUGGAUGAGCAGCGAACGGGUGAGUAACGCGUGGGGAAUCUGCCUUUGAGCGGGGGACAACAUUUGGAAACGAAUGCUAAUACCGCAUAAAAACUUUAAACACAAGUUUUAAGUUUGAAAGAUGCAAUUGCAUCACUCAAAGAUGAUCCCGCGUUGUAUUAGCUAGUUGGUGAGGUAAAGGCUCACCAAGGCGAUGAUACAUAGCCGACCUGAGAGGGUGAUCGGCCACAUUGGGACUGAGACACGGCCCAAACUCCUACGGGAGGCAGCAGUAGGGAAUCUUCGGCAAUGGACGAAAGUCUGACCGAGCAACGCCGCGGGAGUGAAGAAGGGUGUCGGAUCGUAAAACUCUGUUGGUAGGGAAGAACGUUGGUGAGAGUGGAAAGCUCAUCAAGUGACGGUAACUACCCAGAAAGGGACGGCUAACUACGUG